CGCUGCAUGGCGCAACCGGUAGCGCUCUUGUACUUCAGCCAAAUGGCCUCCAGGGUUCAAUCCCCGCCGGGGCGA
Caenorhabditis brenneri is the source of this 75-nucleotide non-coding RNA. NCBI's taxonomy places the organism in Eukaryota, Metazoa, Nematoda, Chromadorea, Rhabditida, Rhabditidae. The record is from the annotation of a GenBank genome assembly.